AUUGAACGCUGGCGGCAUGCUUUACACAUGCAAGUCGAACGGUAACAGGCCUUCGGGUGCUGACGAGUAGCGAACGGGUGAGUAAUGCAUCGGAACGUACCCAGAGGUGGGGGAUAACGCAGCGAAAGCUGUGCUAAUACCGCAUGUGAUCUGAGGAUGAAAGCGGGGGACCGAGCAGCAAUGUUUGGCCUCGCGCCUUUGGAGCGGCCGAUGUCGGAUUAGCUAGUUGGUGGGGUAAAGGCCUACCAAGGCGACGAUCCGUAGCUGGUCUGAGAGGACGACCAGCCACACUGGGACUGAGACACGGCCCAGACUCCUACGGGAGGCAGCAGUGGGGAAUUUUGGACAAUGGGCGCAAGCCUGAUCCAGCAAUGCCGCGUGCGGGAAGAAGGCCUUCGGGUUGUAAACCGCUUUUGGCAGGAACGAAACGGUGUCCGCUAAUACCGGGCGCUAAUGACGGUACCUGCAGAAUAAGCACCGGCUAACUACGUG
Molecule: ribosomal RNA, 492 nt
Filed under: uncultured bacterium
Lineage: Bacteria
Description: partial 16S ribosomal RNA
Rfam family: Bacterial small subunit ribosomal RNA
Source: RNAcentral